Molecule: small nuclear RNA, 134 nt
Filed under: Salvator merianae (Argentine black and white tegu)
Lineage: Eukaryota; Metazoa; Chordata; Lepidosauria; Squamata; Teiidae
Description: U1 spliceosomal RNA (ENSSMRG00000003295.1)
Rfam family: U1 spliceosomal RNA
About the family: U1 is a small nuclear RNA (snRNA) component of the spliceosome (involved in pre-mRNA splicing).
Source: RNAcentral
AUGAUUACAGCAGUUCAAGAAAGUGGUGGGACUAUUGCACCCCAGGUGUGCUGACCCCCCGCAAUUUCUCCAAAUGUGAGAAACUCGACUGCAUAAUUUGUGGUAGUGGGGGACUAUGUUCAUGUAUUCCACUG